CAGAUAAUUUCAACAUUUUUUUCGAAUGUGCAAUUUCCUCAGAAAGUGAAUGAAAAAGUGAAAGUACACAACAAUUUUACGGGGCGGAUAUUUGUACUAUGUGUACUUUUUGUUGGCAAACAAAAUACACGCACACACAAUGGCGCACAAGCAAUUUUUUGAUUGAUCUGAUUCAAUUUUUCAACUAACGCGGAAAAAACAUAUAAAUUUCGUAAUUUU
Caenorhabditis elegans is the source of this 219-nucleotide non-coding RNA. NCBI's taxonomy places the organism in Eukaryota, Metazoa, Nematoda, Chromadorea, Rhabditida, Rhabditidae. The record is from Ensembl.